CAGCAGCCACGGGAAUACGUAGGGGGCGAGCGUUGUCCGAAGUUACUGGGCGUAAAGAGCGCGUAGGCUGGUCUUUAAGUGAGUGGUGAAAGGUUCGGGCUCAACCCGGACACUGCCUUUCAUACUGGGGACCUUGAGUGUGGGAGAGGCGAGUGGAAUGGUCGGUGUAGCGGUGAAAUGCGUAGAUAUCGAUCGGAACACCCAUGGCGAAGGCAGCUCGCUGGCCUAACACUGACGCUGAGGCGCGAAAGCGUGGGGAGCAAACAGGAUUAGAUACCCCCGUAGUCCCUGUCUCUUAUAC
RNAcentral lists this ribosomal RNA (301 nucleotides) under uncultured bacterium. RNAcentral describes it as "partial 16S ribosomal RNA". It matches the Rfam family "Bacterial small subunit ribosomal RNA", at positions 509 to 807 of the family's 1533-position model. The record is from RNAcentral.